This 520-nucleotide ribosomal RNA is filed under the name uncultured bacterium. RNAcentral describes it as "bacterial SSU rRNA". It matches the Rfam family "Bacterial small subunit ribosomal RNA", at positions 9 to 530 of the family's 1533-position model. The record is from RNAcentral.
GAGUUUGAUCGUGGCUCAGGACGAACGCUGGCGGCGUGCUUAACACAUGCAAGUCACGGGGGUCCCGGGGGCAACUCUGGGAUAACCGGCGAACGGGUGUGUAACACGUGAACAACCUGCCCUCGUGUGGGGGAUAGCCGGGCUAACGCCCGGGUAAUACCGCAUACGUUCUCUUUGGGGAGUCCCGAGGAGAGGAAAGCUCCGGCGCACGGGGAGGGGUUCGCGGCCUAUCAGCUAGUUGGCGGGGUAAUGGCCCACCAAGGCGACGACGGGUAGCUGGUCUGAGAGGAUGGCCAGCCACAUUGGGACUGAGAGACGGCCCAGACUCCUACGGGAGGCAGCAGUGGGGAAUCUUGCGCAAUGGUCUAACGACUGACGCAGCGACGCCGCGUGUGGGAGGACGCCUUUCGGGGUGUAAACCACUGUUGCCCGGGACGAACAGCCCUUUUCGAGGGGUCUGACGGUACCGGGUGAGGAAGCACCGGCUAACUCCGUGCCAGCAGCCGCCGUAAAACCUGAA